This 1926-nucleotide long non-coding RNA is filed under the name Anas platyrhynchos platyrhynchos (common mallard). Its description in RNAcentral is "lncRNA (ENSAPLG00000020107.1)". The record is from RNAcentral. Lineage: Eukaryota; Metazoa; Chordata; Aves; Anseriformes; Anatidae.
GGAAAUUUCAUAGGUUUAACAAGACAGACAAUUUCAGUGUGUUGUCCUCACAAGUGUGUGGGGUAAGGAGGGAUGAGAAGAAAACAGUGGUGCAUAGGUCCAUGCUCUAAAUACUUCUGGAAGUCCACAGGGUGGAUUCAGACCUGAGGCACAAUGCCAGCUGGAUUUCCCAGGGCACUGAGCAUGGCAGGCCCCUCUCCCAGCUCUCCUUCCUCAAACCCACCGGUGGGAAGACCAGUGCUUGUCAGGAGCAGCAGUGACCUGAUGAGUCUCCUGUGUGAUGGGGGUCCAGAAGGGGUCUGGGAGUCCUCCCUGGGAUAGUUUUUAGAGGUGUACAAGCUGGUGGAUGUGUGUGUGUGCCUGUUGUUGCUUCUCUGCCUGACAGGCCUGCAGGCCCAAGUGCAGGCAGAAGUGUCUGCGCAGCACGGAGCUGCUAUGAGUCACCUGUCCCCAGCCAUAAGGUGUGAGGAAGCAGCAAAGGCACAGCUGGACACUGCUAUCUGCCACGGCCUCCACUCCAUGGGCACAUGGAGUGAGGAGCCCACACCAGACCUCAAUACAGGAGCCUUGUGACCAGGCAGCAGCAAUGGCCAAGACAGAGGCAGAGAAAACUGCUUCCAGAGUCUCCCUGCUGUCCAAGAUAACCUCCUCCUGCUUGUCCUCCCGGGGCACCACAGAGGUGACAUCCCUGAGACAGCACGAACCAGGUUUGAUCUGUGGCUGCGUAUCACCAACAAAUUGUUUCCUGACAAUUGUUUCCUUUCCAAAUUGGCUCCUGUUGCCACCCUGUAAAGAUUACUGUGAGUGGAAUCGAAAGCAGCUUUGCUCUCAGACCCUUCGCCGCUUUUGCUUGCACAGGAGGAUGAGCACAUCCCACGUGGUCCCAGCACUCGAGGCAGAGCAGGCAAGACUGUCAGGUGGAAGUAAGGGGCAUUUCAUUGUACGUUGAUGUGCAGUGGAUGAGGAGGUCACUGGUGAACUGAGCAUGCAACUCCACCGUGCACUUCUUCAGGCACUUCUGAGAACAGAGCUGUAUUUCGACAGGGUAAGGCUGAGCCUUGGUCAGGGACAUCUCUUUGUCAAGGAGAAGUGGAUGUUCCUUGUUUUCACACCAGCGGGAAGCAGAACACAAUGCGAGCGCUACCAUUGUCCUACUAUGCAUUGAAUACAUUGUGUCAAGUAACACUCAACCUCAGAAGGCAACACUCAGACACCGCUAAGUCUGCGCUACUCAUCCCACUUCACGUACAGACAUUCAGCACCAUUACGCGAGACCCCUCAGCUUAGCAGGAGCUCCAGCAGCACUCUGUGCUUUUGAAGUGAUACAUGGAGUGAGCUCGUGAAAGAUCCUCCGCUACUGCAAUCCCAGUGCUGGGAGCCGCGGUGCACCGACCACCGCAGAGUUACGAGCCACAAUUCACUCCACGGCAAUCUGCCACCAGAAACAUUUAAGAGCUAGAUCUAGCUAGCUAUUUAUAGAGCGACAUCUGAGCACCUUCCAAGCCGCUGGAACAGCUCAGGGAUGAAUCAUUUUGUCACUGGAACCAAGGGGUGGGAUUUCAAAGUACCUGGCCACGCAGAUCUGCACCCUUGUGCACCCACGGAGCCACAAAGGGCAGCAUGUGCCUCAGGCCUGCACAAAGGGAAGUAAAUCCAUCUGUGUCAGCAGGGAGAUGCUGAUUUAUGCCAGUGGAAGGGCCAGUCCCUUGGGGGAACUUCACAAGUGCUUUAGUCACACAUUCCAGUUCUUCAGGAAAUUUCUUUUGCAGAGACUCUGCAAAAUGCGUGUGUGUGCAUGUGUGGAGCUCUUGUCAGGGCUUUGGAGCAAAGCUGUUUUUCUUUGCUGCCUCUGGGUGGGAAUAGUAUUACCAUGGCUGCUUAUGGGGUGCAUCCCAGUUAUUCAACCACAAGGUCUUGCCCCACCCC